UGAAUUUUUAGUCUUUUUGCAUAUGGGUGAAAAAUUGGUUGAGGAACUUGAGAAAGCAUUUUAGAAUAUUUUCACUGAGUAUAAGGAAUAAUAAUAGUACAAUUGUUUGACCCAGUAGCCAGCAGAUUAUUGUUAGUAUAUGUGCACUUUAGCCAAUGUAUUAGUUGCAAGUGUGAUUGCUUAAUUACAUGUAUAUACAUUUUGAUAUUGAUAAAGGCUGCUUUAUUUUUAAUGUUUAUGUUAAUUUUAAUUAAUAUUAAUUAAUAAAGAUAAAGUCCAUGAACUUAUAUGCAUAGCAGUAAUAAUUAUAAUAUGAUUAUAAUUAUGAGAUUCUAACUGUAUUGUUUAUUCUAAAAAUAUUCCUGGUUAAUGUUAUAUUGAGAUUGGACAUUGAUAUAACUUUUGAGAUCAGUGUGUGUUGCAUUCUUUCCUUUAUGAAAAGAAACAACAGUUCUCAUCAAGUUGAGGUGUAGGAGAUACCUAAGAUUAAUGUGUAGGUGCUUAUGGUGAUAAGUUUACUGAAUUAACCUGCACAAGGAUUCUAUAUAGAAGUUUAUCUGUAUCUAUGGAAAGACUCGAGUGAUAGUCAUUGGGGUCUUGGAGAAUUUUCUCAUA
RNAcentral lists this unclassified non-coding RNA (615 nucleotides) under Hevea brasiliensis (rubber tree). The record is from RNAcentral. Lineage: Eukaryota; Viridiplantae; Streptophyta; Magnoliopsida; Malpighiales; Euphorbiaceae.